CACAACAACAACAGCACUCGACGUCAGUAUUGUACCAAAAAAUGAAAAAAAAUAUUCAGAAAGAAGGCUCAUAAAAUUCAAAUAUUGGACAAGAACUAUAGAAGAUACAGAGAAAUUAUAAACAGCAGAAAUGAUAGGCAAUUUAAAAUUUGCAGAAGUCAACAAAACCUAAAUGGUGAUCAGACAUCUUGGUUUUCAUGAUCAAUAGGUCAAUACUGAAGAGGAAACUGAAAGUUGAUAUCUAUCUACAUGGUGCGCUAAUUGGAUUAAUGUGAAAUGGAAUGUGUGCUUUCCUGCAAAAAAGAAAUAGAAAAUUUCAUCAUAAUCACACGAUAAUGGCUAUAAACAAAAUGGAGUUCUAUCAUAGAUGCAGAAAAACACAAUUGUAUAAAUGCAACAACAUAUUAUAUAUAUUUGUCGAAAGAAGGGAGAAAUGAAGAAAAAAAUAGUAUUUUGUUGUUGAAAGGAACACUAGCUUUAUCUACUCAUUUACAUCGCUCCCUCAUAUCAAAUAUACUGAAGAAGAUCUUCGAAGAACAAAUUGCAAAAAUGUUUUCUCUAAGAUUUGAAGGAAAUUGUUUAGUGAAUGGAAUAAUUUAUGCAUUAAACUUUUACGUAGUGGAUUGAAUAACUGUACACAGCAGCUGAAACAGAGAAAAAUUAAAAUAAUAAGA
Molecule: long non-coding RNA, 674 nt
Organism: Mytilus californianus (California mussel)
Lineage: Eukaryota; Metazoa; Mollusca; Bivalvia; Mytilida; Mytilidae
Exons: 3
Source: RefSeq, a predicted model, not a curated record